GGUGAAGAACGUAGUGAAAUGCGAUAAGUAGUGUGAAUUGCAGAAUUCAGUGAAUCAUCGAAUCUUUGAACGCACAUUGCGCCCCUUGGUAUUCCAUGGGGCAUGCCUGUUCGAGCGUCAUUUGUACCUUCAAGCUUUGCUUGGUGUUGGGUGUUUGUCUCGCCUUUGCGUGUAGACUCGCCUUAAAAUAAUUGGCAGCCGGCGUAUUGAUUUCGGAGCGCAGUACAUCUCGCGCUUUGCACUCAUAACGACAGCGUCCAAAAGUACAUUUUACACUCUUGACCUCGGAUCAGGUAGGGAUACCCGCUGAACUUAAGCAUAUCAUAAGCGGAGGA
Molecule: unclassified non-coding RNA, 335 nt
Filed under: soil metagenome
Description: partial contains 5.8S ribosomal RNA, internal transcribed spacer 2, and large subunit ribosomal RNA
Rfam family: 5.8S ribosomal RNA (bases 3-120)
Source: RNAcentral